UUCCGGUUGAUCCUGCCGGACCCCACUGCUAUCGAGGUGGGACUUAGCCAUGCUAGUUGAGCGCACAGAACUAUGUCUGUGAGCGGCACACUGCUCAGUAACACGUAGCUAACCUACCCUUAGGACGUGGACAACCCCGAGAAAUUGGGGCUAAUCCGCGAUAGAUGUAUUGUCCUGGAAUGGUAUUACGUCUAAAGGUAUCCCAUACAUGUUUGGUAUAUGCCUAAGGAUGGGGCUGCGGCCGAUCAGGCUGUUGGUGAGGUAAUGGCUCACCAAACCUUUGACCGGUAUGGGCCAUGAGAGUGGUAGCCCAGAGAUGGACACUGAGACAAGGGUCCAGGCCCUACGGGGCGCAGCAGGCGCGAAACCUCCUCAAUGCACUAACGUGCGAAGGGGUUACCUCGAGUGCCACCUGAAGAAGGUGGCUUUUCCUUGGUCUAAAAAGCCUAGGGAAUAAGAGGGGGGCAAGACAGGUGUCAGCCGCCGCGGUAACACCAGCCCCUCGAGUGGUGGGGAUGAUUAUUUGGCCUAAAGCGUCCGUAGCCGGCCGGGUAAGUUUCCCGUUAAAUCCAGCGUCUCAAGCGUUGGACUGCGGGAAAUACUGCCUGGCUAGAGAGUGGGAGAGGUCAGCGGUACUCUGGGGGUAGGGGCGAAAUCCUUUGAUCCCCGGAGGACCACCAGUGGCGAAGGCUGCUGACUAGAACACGUCUGACGGUCAGGGACGAAAGCUGGGGUAGCGAACCGGAUUAGAUACCCGGGUAGUCCCAGCCGUAAACGAUGCAUGCUAGGUGUUGGGUU
This 798-nucleotide ribosomal RNA is filed under the name uncultured archaeon. RNAcentral describes it as "bacterial SSU rRNA". It matches the Rfam family "Archaeal small subunit ribosomal RNA", at positions 1 to 780 of the family's 1478-position model. The record is from RNAcentral.